CAGGCUUAACACAUGCAAGUCGAGGGGCAGCAUGGUCUUAGCUUGCUAAGGCCGAUGGCGACCGGCGCACGGGUGAGUAACACGUAUCCAACCUGCCGUCUACUCUUGGACAGCCUUCUGAAAGGAAGAUUAAUACAAGAUGGCAUCAUGAGUCCGCAUGUUCACAUGAUUAAAGGUAUUCCGGUAGACGAUGGGGAUGCGUUCCAUUAGAUAGUAGGCGGGGUAACGGCCCACCUAGUCUUCGAUGGAUAGGGGUUCUGAGAGGAAGGUCCCCCACAUUGGAACUGAGACACGGUCCAAACUCCUACGGGAGGCAGCAGUGAGGAAUAUUGGUCAAUGGGCGAGAGCCUGAACCAGCCAAGUAGCGUGAAGGAUGACUGCCCUAUGGGUUGUAAACUUCUUUUAUAAAGGAAUAAAGUCGGGUAUGGAUACCCGUUUGCAUGUACUUUAUGAAUAAGGAUCGGCUAACUCCGUGUCAGCAGCCGCGGUAAUACGGAGGAUCCGAGCGUUAUCCGGAUUUAUUGGGUUUAAAGGGAGCGUAGAUGGAUGUUUAAGUCAGUUGUGAAAGUUUGCGGCUCAACCGUAAAAUUGCAGUUGAUACUGGAUAUCUUGAGUGCAGUUGAGGCAGGCGGAAUUCGUGGUGUAGCGGUGAAAUGCUUAGAUAUCACGAAGAACUCCGAUUGCGAAGGCAGCCUGCUAAGCUGCAACUGACAUUGAGGCUCGAAAGUGUGGGUAUCAAACAGGAUUAGAUACCCUGGUAGUCCACACGGUAAACGAUGAAUACUCGCUGUUUGCGAUAUACUGCAAGCGGCCAAGCGAAAGCGUUAAGUAUUCCACCUGGGGAGUACGCCGGCAACGGUGAAACUCAAAGGAAUUGACGGGGGCCCGCACAAGCGGAGGAACAUGUGGUUUAAUUCGAUGAUACGCGAGGAACCUUACCCGGGCUUAAAUUGCAGAUGAAUUACGGUGAAAGCCGUAAGCCGCAAGGCAUCUGUGAAGGUGCUGCAUGGUUGUCGUCAGCUCGUGCCGUGAGGUGUCGGCUUAAGUGCCAUAACGAGCGCAACCCUUGUUGUCAGUUACUAACAGGUUCCGCUGAGGACUCUGACAAGACUGCCAUCGUAAGAUGUGAGGAAGGUGGGGAUGACGUCAAAUCAGCACGGCCCUUACGUCCGGGGCUACACACGUGUUACAAUGGGGGGUACAGAGGGCCGCUACCACGCGAGUGGAUGCCAAUCCCCAAAACCUCUCUCAGUUCGGACUGGAGUCUGCAACCCGACUCCACGAAGCUGGAUUCGCUAGUAAUCGCGCAUCAGCCACGGCGCGGUGAAUACGUUCCCGGGCCUUGUACACACCGCCCGUCAAGCCAUGGGGGCCGGGGGUACCUGAAGUGCGUAACCGCGAGGAGCGCCCUAGGGUAAAACUGGUGACUGGGGCUAAGUAGUAAC
RNAcentral lists this ribosomal RNA (1445 nucleotides) under uncultured organism. RNAcentral's name for it is "16S ribosomal RNA". It matches the Rfam family "Bacterial small subunit ribosomal RNA". The record is from RNAcentral.